Alosa alosa (allis shad) is the source of this 313-nucleotide long non-coding RNA. RefSeq lists it as uncharacterized. Lineage: Eukaryota; Metazoa; Chordata; Actinopteri; Clupeiformes; Clupeidae. The record is from RefSeq and is a predicted model, not a curated record. The transcript is spliced from 3 exons.
AGUUCCAAAAAGCCAUUCUAUGGCGUUGGACAUCAUUCACUUCCAUUGCUGACUGUCGAGUAACUUCUGAGGUUUUUGCGGCUGACCAUUGUCAUCCAUAUUUUCAUGCGAUCUUUGUCCUUGGGGAAGCCAUACAUGCGGUAACCCUUCUCGGACCGAUUGGUGCAUCCAAAUGCUGCACAGCCAACCAUGUGUCCAGGACACAGAUGAAGAGGAUGUUAGUAUGCGUUGUCGAGAGGAACUGCCCUACAGUGACUGGCCAUAGUGCAUAGUGGAACUCCACAGGUGUGAGUCUGAUGUAUGCAAGAGAAAG